AUUUACAUAGCUUAUAAAAGCAUCAUAUUGAAGCUAUGAAGAAGACUUUGGUCUGUAAAUA
This 61-nucleotide transfer RNA is filed under the name Undinula vulgaris. Its description in RNAcentral is "tRNA-Phe". Lineage: Eukaryota; Metazoa; Arthropoda; Copepoda; Calanoida; Calanidae. The record is from RNAcentral.